Molecule: ribosomal RNA, 253 nt
Filed under: uncultured bacterium
Lineage: Bacteria
Description: partial 16S ribosomal RNA
Rfam family: Bacterial small subunit ribosomal RNA
Source: RNAcentral
UACGAAGGGGGCUAGCGUUGCUCGGAAUCACUGGGCGUAAAGGGUGCGUAGGCGGGUCUUUAAGUCAGGGGUGAAAUCCUGGAGCUCAACUCCAGAACUGCCUUUGAUACUGAGGAUCUUGAGUUCGGGAGAGGUGAGUGGAACUGCGAGUGUAGAGGUGAAAUUCGUAGAUAUUCGCAAGAACACCGGUGGCGAAGGCGGGUCUCUGGGCCGAUACUGACGCUGAGGAGCGAAAGCGUGGGGAGCAAACAGG